UGGGAAAACUCCACUCUCCGUAAUUAAUGACUGCUUUGCGAAUGAAUUGCCAUAAAAUGAGACAAGUUUUUUUUAAAGCAAAGGAUACAUAGGCUAUAUUUUAUAAUUAGGAAAAAAGUAGGCAAAAUUUAGGUAAAAUAAGAUUGCUUAUACAAUCUUUUGUGCUCAGAAAGAACACAGACUUACUUGAAAUGCGCUAACUUGUGAAUAUCGAUCUUUUGCGUUCUUCGGUAAAAAAGAAAUGGUUUUCAACAAGUACCAAAGGGACAACUGUGAGAUACAUAACCUCGGAAAAAUAGGAUGUAUAUUUUGCAAGGAGAUCCUUUGCUUGAAGUAAAAUCUCUGGCAGCUACCCAGGACUGAUGGCGAGGCGGGGGUGGUUCCUCCUCUGUGUUGUGGGCUCUGAAGGCUAAAGAAAGCUCUCUGCACCCAGACAAGAUGUGAUAGCCCUGUCUGUGUCCUUGCUCCAGUCCACCAUCAACCUCCUGUACGAUUGUCCCAGCAGAACAAUUCACUUUGGACACUGUGAUUCGGAUAAGGACGUCAGACCCUACACAGCAAGAGGUUAGAAAAAGUUUCUAGCGAGAAAGAAGUGAGAAGUUUGAAGACAUCUAAGAAGCAGAACAGAACAGGAGAAAGGACUGGAACUUCCAGGCUCUUUAACCUGCAAACCACAGACUAGACGUGCAAGAACCACUUCAUCUUACCUGGGACAGUAUCAAACCUACAGAUCAAGACCCGGAGCCCUGAGCACUACGUUGUCUUUCGAAGUCCAGCUUUCAUUUCAAAAAGCUGCUAUUCUGAUCCUUUGGCAAGGUGCACUCAGGAGUGCCGUGGAGCAGGCGGAGGAAGACCUAAUGUGUUAUGGAGUAUUUGACAUGUCCAAUUGCAUCUUUCCUUCCGAAGGAACCGAAGGCAUUCCACGGGUGCACGAACUUCUUUUAAUUAACUAUCUGAGGUAAAGAAACCUCCACCGUCUUCCCAGAGGCUAAGUUGCCAAAGCAAACCGGAGCAGGUUGGUCUGCCCUCUCUGGUUCUGAUAGUUCUGUUCUCGUGGUUCCAGUACGGAUCUGUGGGUGGUAGAAUCAAAGUUAAAUCCCUUUUACACUGAGUCAGAGCUUGCAGAAAAACACCCUUAUCGCUGCACUUUACAGUAGUGUAGGCUGUGGAUUUCUCUAAGUCUUUCCAGGUAGAAUUACUUCUAUUUUCUACUUAGUUGUGGAAUACUUACAUAGUUGUCUGGGAGAAUAAGACAGUUUUUAGGCUAGGCAUUAGGAAUCUGGAAGCCUGACUCCAUUCAUCUUCUCUUACCUAGCUUUGUAAUGUUAGUCUUUUCACAUGUAUUUAAAAAGCUGGAAAAAACCUAAAACGCAAAUAUCUUAAGUCACAUACAGUGUUGAAGCCCGCUUAUGGGGCUGUCCCAAAUCCUUGAUGAAUAUGGAGUUCUUGACUAACAUUUUAAUGAAAGAUAAGCAGGAAAAGGUGAGUCAGAAAGAGUGUUGAUGGCCUAUGUGCCUUUAGUGAAUUUUAGAACGCUACUAUUCUGCGGUCAAGAAAUUAAAAUCUGCUGUGCAUCCAGGGAAAGUUAAGGAGGAGAGCAAUAACGCAGCUGCUCAAGCAGAAGAAAUCCAAGGUUAAUAGUGGUAGCUUUGCCUUAGGCGUGAAGUGGCAGAAAGUAAGUGAAAGCUGGUUUAGAGUAAGAUUUUAGAGGUUGCUUUGCUGUUCUAACUUCUCCGGUAAAUUAAGAAAAAAGUAUUAUUAAAAUGUGGCUCUGUUAUGACACACAGUUAGCGAGACCUGUGUUUAAUUCUCAGUAACUACUAUAUCUGCUAGAUUUAUUAAUAAAAAGUCAGCCACGUAGUCAUGGAUUGUUAAAUCUGGCCAGUAUGGCUUGCAGCGCGUUGGGCACCAAGCGAAAAUCCUGCCAGGCGAAUUCCACACCGAACUCCCGUCACGGCACUUCUCACUGCGGUUCACACUCUGCCCUCAGCAAUAACUCCGCAGCACCAGAAGUCUCAGAGGGUAUGGAAAGGCGUGUCGAGGGCGAUGAAGUUUAGCUCUGCAUCUGAAAACCGCUGAAGGGAGGGGGACGGGAGAAAUUACAGAAUACAAACUGGAUUCUGUAAGAGCUGUAAUGUUGUGUAUAAGAAAAUGUUAUUAAAUGAUCUGUUUUCACUAAAUGAGGGCGUA
This is a long non-coding RNA of Chroicocephalus ridibundus (black-headed gull), 2190 nucleotides long. RefSeq lists it as uncharacterized. The record is from RefSeq and is a predicted model, not a curated record. Lineage: Eukaryota; Metazoa; Chordata; Aves; Charadriiformes; Laridae. The transcript has 4 exons.